This 4713-nucleotide long non-coding RNA is filed under the name Homo sapiens (human). RNAcentral's name for it is "HSALNT0029964". The record is from RNAcentral. Lineage: Eukaryota; Metazoa; Chordata; Mammalia; Primates; Hominidae.
UUUUAUAAUAGGGUAAAAUUUUCAGUCAAUACUCAAAUUAUGAUGCUUAUGCAGGAAGUUGCUUAUGCAGGAAGUAAGCUGACCUGCAUAAGGUCUCUCAUAUAUGUAUGUGUGUAUGUAUAUGUAUACGUAUAUGUAUAUGUAUAUGUAUAUGUAUAUGUAUAUGUAUAUGUAUAUGUAUAUGUAUAUGUACACACCAAAAUGUUACCAGUGAUUAUCGCUGGAUGGUUGGGUUACAUACAAUUUUUGUUUUAUUUUUAAUAUUUAUCCUGCAGUUUCCAAAUUUUUAACACAAAUUAUUAUUUCCAUUACUUUAACCAAUUAAUACAGUACAUAUUAUAAAAGCUAUCAAGGUAGUAAAUAUGGGCCGUUGCCCAGCCUCCCACCAAUGACCUCCUCCUUCAGAAAAUGUAUGCUUGAAAACCUUGGUUUUCUGCUUGCCUAAGAAAGCUCCCAGGAAGCUUCUGACACCAGCUUUUUAAACUGUGCAGUGCCCCUCAAUUGUAAUAUUGUGAUCUAGUCACAUCCCACAUGCAUUACUCCUACUUGCUCAUUUUAUGAAUGAAAACACAGAUGAUGGGCUCACUGGCAAAGUCACACAGGUGCAUCAUCUCAGGUAGAAUUUACAUUUGUGUCAGUUAAUUGUCAAGCUUGUUUAUUCAAGAGUCGAAUUUUGCAGAUUCCAUUUCUCUUCAGAGUGGAGAUCCCCACCGAUGGAAUAUGAAGUCUGCAAAAUUUUUCACUUUAUCCUAGAAACCACUGGGUUCAGGAUAAAUCCAGAUAGGCAGCAUCCUACCCACCCAUAUGUAUAAGGAGCAGUUCAAACUAAAUUUUUAGAGUCUCUUCCGAUAGCAUCCCGUUGCCCACUCAAUGAUUUUCAGACCUCUUACCCUGAAAUUUUCGAUUCUCUAUAUAUGCACUGUCCUCAAGACCAUGGCUGGCUAUAUUGAUUUCUAUUUCCAGAUGAUUUUCUUUUUACCCAUUUUUACUUACAAUAAUAUAAACAUAUACACUGUUUUUCAGUUUUCAUGCAUUUUUAUGCUGCUGCCACUGCUUAAAAUUCCCUGCCCCAUAUGGAUUAUGUCCACCCAUCAAAUACCAUGGCUUGCUUUUACCUGCAUCUACAUCAGACCCAACUAGCCUAAUCUAACUUCUGGUUCUGCUGGAAUCCUAUCAAAACUGCCAACAUUUUUUCUAAACUUCUCAAGUUUUAAAAUAUAUUUCCUCAUUUUCUGUGAAAGCAAUGCCUGCAUAAUAAUGCUGAUAUUAUCCUAAUAAAAACUUAAACAUCUGCAUGUAAAUUAUGCUACACCAUCAACAGGAUUCCAAGACAGAAAGCAGGAUUUGAGAAGGGAAAAUGGGCAAGUAAAUUCUCAUAUCUAUUUAAUUACAGAGCACUCAUGUAAAAUUUCCUUUGGCUGCCUCCAUCAACAUAGCAAUGACUUGCAUACCACUUUGACAGGGCAAUUUCAUCUACUUGGCAAAGUAAAAGGGAAAAUAAAAUAUCAUCUAUCCCUUUGAUUUGAUUCAUUUCUUCUUUCAUUUUUAGCUUAUUAGUUUGUAUGCAUUUCUAAGAGCCACCAAAAUAUAAUGACAUAAAAACAAAAGAAAAAUCAGAGAAAGGCAGGUUGUGGCCAGUUGAUGAGUGACUUUUAGGUCAAGCUAUGAAGUUUGAAAAUAACCUAUAGGCAAAGGGGAUCCUCAUGGGUAUUUCAGGGGACUAGCUUGAUCAGAUUUGUUUCUCAGGAAGAUGUACUAGUAUUGAUGGAGAAAUGAGGUAUGGGGACCUACGGCGAUGAUCAGGCAAACAGUGACUUAAGGUGUAGGAAAUUUGGAAGAAGGGGUAGGGAUAAACAGUAGAGAUCACACUAUAAAUGGUUCUGAAAAGCAGCAUGAUGAUUCUUUGACUCUAGGGAGUGUUGUUCUAUGUGUGUGGUAGAAAACUGGCUUUUAAAGAAUAUUUUUGAAAACAAACAUUAGAAUUUUUAAUGUUGUAUGUCUAUUAUCACCUAUAGAAAAAAAAGCAGUAGAUGCAAACCACAGCUAGCUCAAUUCUAAUGCCAAAAAAGAAAGUGAGCACUGCAAAUUGUUCCCGUCUCUAAUCUGCCCAUCUGUGAGUUUGAAAUGACAAAAAGUGAAAAAGAAGUCUCCUCUAGACAGAAUAAUUUCAUAAAGAAUGAUUUCCUAAUAGAAACAAUAUAAUACAUAAAAAGAGGAAGCUAUAAAAAGCAGAGGGUUAAGUAUCCAGUAAGUCCAAAUGCCAAAUGUUGAGUUGCUAAAAUAGAUGAGGGUUACUGGAGUUUUUCCUGAAAUGAAGCUUUUAGACUGCUUGUCAAUUCAUCCAACAGCAGUUUAUCACAACAUAGGCUGACAGAUCACACCAUAUUUUAAUAUUAACUCAUCCACAGCUCCAAACUCAGGUGCUUCAAGAAGUCUAAAGUCCAGGGAUGCUGUAAACAGGUUUAGCUGCCCAGGUUUUCUCAGCCUUGAAGAUUAACUCCCAUGCCCUUGAUUCAUUCUCAUGACGUGCAGAGGAGAGGAGUGUUGGUGUCUUAGUAAGUCCCUUUCUGCGCACGUAAGAUGAUAAUCGUCAAAAAAAAUGGAAAGCUGGGCACUUUAAUUUUCUACCAUCUGUAAUCAUAUGCAAACUGUGAUAAAGCCAAAAAUGAAGUCAAGGUGCUAGGGCUUCUAACAUGUUAUUUAUUGUGUCACUUUUUUUUUUUUUUUUUUUUUUUGGAAUAUAGAUCUGGAGAAAAUAAGCUGUUUGCAACACGGUAAUUCAGUUAUAUGAUGCACUCAUUCAAAAUCCCAUUUUAAGUGACAGGUCAUCAUUAUAGAGGAACCACAUGAUUUGGAUAGGGGCUGGCACAGAUUCUAGCGAACAGCCGUACUCCUUUAUUUGGGUGGUUACAUCAUAAAUCCGAGUGGACCAAAGUGAAGAUGAACCAUUUUUUAAGAGUAGAAACCCCAUGCUCACUCAGAGUAGAGGGCCGCGCAGGCAAGCUAACAGCUUCUGUAGACCUUGGAUGGGGCUGCCAAGUUUCCACUAGGUGGGAAUUUCUGAUGCAAUAAAUGACACACCUAAAACAAUAACUGAAUCUAAAACACUACCACCCUAAAAAUGCCUUUAAAACAUGAAAUUUCUGUAGGAUAAUAAAUCAUACAGGAACAAAGUUAAAAUUCAAGCUUAUAUGUGUUAGCAAAAUUAGGUACGAUAUAGUCCAAUUUAAAUGUUUAUCUAAUAAUGAAUAAGCCUAAUAUAUUGGGUUACAUGCAUACAUUUAAAAUGUGAGAACUACUCUAGGCUCCAACUAGAGCUAGAAAAUUACCUGCUUCUAUGUUAUAGUGACUGCAGUUUUUAAGGAAGAAAUUCUAAACACCUCAUUUCUCAGCAAACCAACAAGAUGUAGUGGAAUAAACACAAGCUUCAGAGGCAGAUGUGGCUUCAAACUCCACCUCUACUACCUAGCGACAAUAUGACUUCACUGGUUGUAAAUGUUGGAUAACUAUAUUGGCUUCAUUGGUUAAAGUAAAGGUAACAAGUAGAAAACACCUCAUAGAAUUCAUGUUAAUUUCCAUCUCCCUUCAUCCAUUUUUUUCCCUGGUUUGAAAUCAAGCAAAGCUCUUUCAGCCUCCAAAGGGAUCAAUUAUGGCAGUGGUUGGUCCCAAGCAAGUCUGUGUGUUAAGAGGCAUCCCACGUGGUUUCUUGUUCAUUUCAUUUAGGGUGCCUUCACUGCAGCUUCCUUCCAUUUUCUGACUCCUUAAAGAUGAAUUUGUGUUUCUGCCUGGAAUACAAAUUGCUUGAGUUGCACUUAUGUCUGGUCCUGACAGCUAAGAUAAAAGUUUCAUGGAGAAGUGGAUUGUGCCCAGGCAACAGCAAAGAAAAUGCAACCUCUCGAAUUGGCUUAAUUGUACUAUUUUCAAAAAACUGUUGAAACUAUUACCUCCUCUGUUUCAGUUUUUAAAGCUUUUGGUUAAAAAAAAAAACCUCUUGUUAGUCCCAUAAUUUGUACUUGCACAGAAGAGAUCUAAAUGUAUUUCCUGAGUAUAUUUUAUAAAAAUAUCAGGGACGACAGAAAUAUCAAGGUUGGGCUCUCUAAGAGAAAAACAAAGUUCUCACUUCCAUAGUUUUCAUUCCUAUAUGAUACUAAAGUGUUCUGCCUGGUUUUAAAGAAUUAAAACACCAACAUUCAUGCAAGUAGCACAAAGAAGGGGUAUCCCCCUGCUCAGUUCCUCCUGCAACAAAUUCUCAACAUCCAGGGCAUCCAGAAGAUGGCAGAAAUUCAGUCUAGAAGCUCUUUCCUCAAGUGUUCAUCAAGGGCCCUUCAACCCAACACUGCUUAGACUUCCACUUUUGCAAAAGGAAGGGCACAGAGUGAGCUUAUCCUAGCCUCAGCUGAAUCUAUAAAAGGUGUUCCAUGCUGCCUAGUUAAUUAUUCUGGUAUCUUGAUUAUGCAGGAAUAAAGCACAGGGAAAAUUUUCUCAUUUUCUUGGUUACAAAAUAUUAACGAUGAGAUUAAACAAUGGAUUAACAGACUCUGUUAGAUAUGAUGCUGAGAUGAAGUGUUCACACACUGGGAGUAUUUGUCCUCUGCUUCCAAGAAGGUUUCUUCCUCCCUGCUUGUGUGCCAACAUCUCACACCAGGCCAGACCUCCAUGUGUACAUUUUUCUUGUUUGAGCCCAACCAAUGGCUUUGGUACUGAAUUAUUCAG